AGGAGCGUGGUCUAAUGGUGACGACAACUCCUUUACACGGAGUAGAUGGCGGUUCAAUUCCGCCCGUUCCUA
Molecule: transfer RNA, 72 nt
Filed under: Haloarcula vallismortis
Lineage: Archaea; Methanobacteriati; Methanobacteriota; Halobacteria; Halobacteriales; Haloarculaceae
Also listed under: 1 other name
Description: tRNA_Val_TAC
Rfam family: tRNA
About the family: Transfer RNA (tRNA) molecules are approximately 80 nucleotides in length.
Source: RNAcentral